CAAUAGCGUAUAUUAGAGUUGUUGCAGUUAAAAAGCUCGUAGUUGGAUUUCUGGUGGGGGUCGCUGGUCCGCUGCGAAAGCGGCGUGUACCGAUGCGUACCUACCGCCAUCCUCGGGGGGACUGCGUGUGGGAUUAGUUUCUCGUGCGUAUGGACGCCCGUCUUUUACUGUGAAAAAAUUAGAGUGUUCAAAGCAGGCUGAGGCCGUUGAAUACAUUAGCAUGGAAUAAUAAGAUAGGACCUUGGCGGUCUAUUUUGUUGGUUUGCACGCCAAGGUAAUGAUUAAUAGGGAUAGUUGGGGGUAUUCGUAUUCAAUUGUCAGAGGUGAAAUUCUUAGAUUUAUGGAAGACGAACUACUGCGAAAGCAUUUACCAAGGAUGUUUUCAUUAA
Molecule: ribosomal RNA, 389 nt
Filed under: uncultured eukaryote
Lineage: Eukaryota
Description: partial 18S ribosomal RNA
Rfam family: Eukaryotic small subunit ribosomal RNA
Source: RNAcentral